GCUGGCGGCGUGCCUAAUACAUGCAAGUAGAACGCUGAAGAGAGGAGCUUGCUCUUCUUGGAUGAGUUGCGAACGGGUGAGUAACGCGUAGGUAACCUGCCUUGUAGCGGGGGAUAACUAUUGGAAACGAUAGCUAAUACCGCAUAACAAUGGAUGACUCAUGUCAUUUAUUUGAAAGGGGCAAAUGCUCCACUACAAGAUGGACCUGCGUUGUAUUAGCUAGUAGGUGAGGUAACGGCUCACCUAGGCGACGAUACAUAGCCGACCUGAGAGGGUGAUCGGCCACACUGGGACUGAGACACGGCCCAGACUCCUACGGGAGGCAGCAGUAGGGAAUCUUCGGCAAUGGGGGCAACCCUGACCGAGCAACGCCGCGUGAGUGAAGAAGGUUUUCGGAUCGUAAAGCUCUGUUGUAAGUCAAGAACGAGUGUGAGAGUGGAAAGUUCACACUGUGACGGUAGCUUACCAGAAAGGGACGGCUAACUACGUGCCAGCAGCCGCGGUAAUACGUAGGUCCCGAGCGUUGUCCGGAUUUAUUGGGCGUAAAGCGAGCGCAGGCGGUUUGAUAAGUCUGAAGUUAAAGGCUGUGGCUCAACCAUAGUUCGCUUUGGAAACUGCCAAACUUGAGUGCAGAAGGGGAGAGUGGAAUUCCAUGUGUAGCGGUGAAAUGCGUAGAUAUAUGGAGGAACACCGGUGGCGAAAGCGGCUCUCUGGUCUGUAACUGACGCUGAGGCUCGAAAGCGUGGGGAGCGAACAGGAUUAGAUACCCUGGUAGUCCACGCCGUAAACGAUGAGUGCUAGGUGUUGGAUCCUUUCCGGGAUUCAGUGCCGCAGCUAACGCAUUAAGCACUCCGCCUGGGGAGUACGACCGCAAGGUUG
Molecule: ribosomal RNA, 879 nt
Filed under: uncultured bacterium
Lineage: Bacteria
Description: bacterial SSU rRNA
Rfam family: Bacterial small subunit ribosomal RNA
Source: RNAcentral